ACUCCUACGGGAGGCAGCAGUGGGGAAUAUUGCACAAUGGGCGCAAGCCUGAUGCAGCCAUGCCGCGUGUAUGAAGAAGGCCUUCGGGUUGUAAAGUACUUUCAGCAGUGAGGAAGGUGGGUAUGUUAAUAGCAUAUUCAUUUGACGUUAGCUGCAGAAGAAGCACCGGCUAACUCCGUGCCAGCAGCCGCGGUAAUACGGAGGGUGCGAGCGUUAAUCGGAAUUACUGGGCGUAAAGCGCAUGCAGGUGGUUUGUUAAGUCAGAUGUGAAAGCCCGGGGCUCAACCUCGGAAUUGCAUUUGAAACUGACAAACUAGAGUACUGUAGAGGGGGGUAGAAUUUCAGGUGUAGCGGUGAAAUGCGUAGAGAUCUGAAGGAAUACCGGUGGCGAAGGCGGCCCCCUGGACAGAUACUGACACUCAGAUGCGAAAGCGUGGGGAGCAAACAGGAUUAGAUACCCUGGUAGCACAGAG
This 473-nucleotide ribosomal RNA is filed under the name uncultured bacterium. Its description in RNAcentral is "bacterial SSU rRNA". It matches the Rfam family "Bacterial small subunit ribosomal RNA", at positions 335 to 799 of the family's 1533-position model. The record is from RNAcentral.